UUUUAUAUAGUUUAAAAAACAUUACAUUUUCAGUGUAAAAUUAGAUUUCUCAUCUUAUAAAAU
This 63-nucleotide transfer RNA is filed under the name Trigonopterus puspoi. RNAcentral's name for it is "tRNA-Glu". The record is from RNAcentral. Lineage: Eukaryota; Metazoa; Arthropoda; Insecta; Coleoptera; Curculionidae.